GACGAACGCUGGCGGCGUGCUUAACACACGCAAGUCGAACGGGCCCGCCCCUGUUUUUGGGGGUGGGUUGAGUGGCGAACGGGUGAGUAUCACGUGAGUAACCUGCCCCCUGCUCCUGGAUAACUGCUUGAAAGGGCGGCUAAUACGGGGUGUGCCGGCUGGUCCGCAUGGGCCUGGUCGGGAUAGUUUCAUCUUCGGGUGUUUCGGUGGGGGAUGGGCUCGCGGCCUAUCAGCUUGUUGGUGGGGUGAUGGCCCACCAAGGCGGUGACGGGUAGCCGGCCUGAGAGGGUGGGCGGACACACUGGGACUGAGACACGGCCCAGACUCCUGCGGGAGGCAGCAGUGGGGGGUAUUGCACAAUGGGCGGAAGCCUGAUGCAGCGACGUCGCGUGAGGGAUGGAGGCCUUCGGGUUGUGAACCUCUUUCUCCGGUGGUGAAGGCCCUGUCCGUUGCGGCGGGGUUGACGGUAGCCGGGUAUGAAGCGCCGGCUAACUACGUG
Molecule: ribosomal RNA, 499 nt
Filed under: uncultured bacterium
Lineage: Bacteria
Description: partial 16S ribosomal RNA
Rfam family: Bacterial small subunit ribosomal RNA
Source: RNAcentral